GCAGAACAGUGGCUCGGAGGGCGCAGGCUGCCCGGCCUCCGCCCCCUGCAAGCUGAGGGCUGUCCGCGCUGUCUUUCCGACGGCCCCACCCCCGGCUCUCUGAGCUCCGCGAGGUGAAGUCAUCUCCCGGGGGCUCGGGAGUGGCCGCGGGCCUCGCGGAGGUUCCCGGAUCUCGGCGUCGUUGCCGCGGUGUCCUUGUCUUUCUUUUGGGGACCAGGAGGGGGUUCUUGGGGGAAGGAGGGGAGAGCGGAGGCCGCCAUCUUGCUUCUAGAGGGUCAGCUCAUGUUCCCUGGGCGUCUCAGGGUUGAGGCCGCUCGUGUGGCGUGGCCGGGGGUAUUCAGAGCGGAGCUGGCGACGUGGCUUGUCACGGGCCAAAUCCCAGGAGGCGGGUCAGCCGCCUACCCUGGCUGGAGGGUCUCGUGGCUGCCCUGGGCCUCAUCUAACUGCUGAUCCCCUGGAGAAUUCGCUUUCUCGGACGGUCUGCGAGUUCUUUCUGAGGGGUGUCGGACCCCCCUGCGACUCUGCAGGUGUCGGUGUGGCACUGAGAUCAUCUUGCGGCCCCAUGGCACUGUGAUUUGGUAGCUUGUGAGAAGUAGUUUCACUAAAUCCGUAAAUUUAAGUUAGCAGCUACAGAUUCUUAUGUCUUGACAUUUAUUCGCUUAUCUCUCUUUGCUCCCCACAAAUUGAGUACCAACUAUAUUCCUGGUAUGAGCCAUUCAAGGAAUGUCCAGUCUAGUGGGCAGACAUACAUGAAAGCAAAUCAUUGCUAUUGGAAGUAUGGUUUAUCAAGAUGUACAGCGUGAAGAAUGGAUAGCUUUACUAACGUAGGUUAGAGUUUUAAAGAUAAAUAGGCAUUUUCUACUACAAAAAUAGGGGUGGGAUGGCAAAUCCGGAUCCGAACAGAAAGGAGAUGCAGCACGGGGACAAAUAAUUUGUUGAGAAGAAUGAGUAAUAAUUACAGGUCUUGAAGUUCAAACUUAGGUUGCUGAAGAAGAUGAGGCUGGAGAAGAAAACAGGAGCCAAAUCACGAAUCGUCUAUGCCUUGGAAUUGCUCCAUUCCAAUAAAAAUAUUUUAAAUUUAAUCAUUGACAACAGUUAAGCUGGCCAUAGGCUGAGGAUUGAGGAUGGUGGGUUGCACAAAUAUCUGCUGAAUGGAGAGCUAGAAGGAGGAUGACUUCAAGAAGAGUCAGCAAUAGGAACGCAAUGAAAGACAACCUCAAAUUCAUUAGUCAGCCUGUCUCAGCUGCUUUUUGGUGGCUCACAGCUAUGCUAACCUAGCAUAAAGCAGUGAGAAAUAGAAUACUUCAUUUUGAGCAGAGCUUCAGAAAACCACAAAUAGUAAAAGCCCUAUAAAUAAUAGCUACAGCUGCAAACCAAAGACUAAUUAUUAGUUUUUAACUCUAUAUCCCUGUAGAGCAGCAUUUUUGAACACACAAAAAAAGAGAAACGCGUUCACUUACGUCUUAGAUUAUUUAAAUACAGUAUUCUCAAUUUGUCUAGGAUAAAAAAGCAUUUAGGUGUAUUGAACAACCAUAUAAUGGAUAAUAUACUGAACAGGAAAUGAGAAUAAUUAGCUUGAGUCCCUUUUUUGUCAGUUGUUCACCGUAUGACCCUAGCAAUGUUACUUAACCUCUCUAUGCCCUAGUUUCUCUGACUGUAAAAUAGAGAUAAUAAUAACUUUCUAUCAGCCGCCUCUCAAAGAUAUUAUAGGAAAUAACAAAUUAAUGCUAUGAAAGCUCUUUGAGGUACUUGGAUGAAAGGGCAUAAUUGUAAGUACAUAUUAUUAGUAAUUAGCACUAAUAUCCAGUAGCACCCAUGAGCAUUCCUGACUUUGCUGCCUGGAUUACUCAAAGAACAUGAAGGAUCCUGUUUUGAAAUACACUUAGAUCUUUUUUCUUAACUUGUGAAUUGACUUUACUAUUUAUGAUCAAACCUUGUGUAUUAACAAAUAUAGUUAAUGAAAGAGGGAAGUAAAAAGAAGUUUUGGUAACCACAACUUUUAUAUUCAUGCUACUCAUAGCUAAUAUAUGCUUUGGGGGAAAAUACAGGGUAGAUAGGGAUUUGCCAGAAGCAUGUUUUAGAAUUAAUGAUUAGUCUACUCCAGUCAGUUAACUGGAAUUUUGUAUUAAAAACAUUAUUCAUGUCCCCAUAGAAUAAUGCAGUCCCUAUAGAAUUUAUAGACAGUUACAUGUUUGACACAAUUAAGUUGAACAUUCCUGUGAAACUCUGUCAUUCUCAUCACUGUUUAAUCACAAACAUGUAAUGAAAUAUAUAGACUUGUGAAGUUUUGUCCAAUGUCUAUCCCUAAAGUAGAUGAGAAUUUUUUCCAUUAAAUUGGUGACUUCAGUAUUUCCUUUAGAGAGGUGUAUGCAUAAUGUAAACAUUUAAAUGUAUUCAUGACUACAUAAUGUGCAUGUUUAUUUUUAUACACUUGCUUAUAUACCAAUUUAUAAAAUUAUCAUAUAAUGUAUAUUAACUAUACAUCUGGGAACAGCAAUGACAAACAAGGCUUCUUUGUGUUUUAGGGCCAGAUAAGAAAGUAAUUGGUUAAUAGCCAUUUGUCACCACUGGUGAAAAAUCAACUCAAAAUCAUGUUUUAUUAUUUAUUAGAGUUAUGAGCAUUAUCUAUAAGAUUCAUGACACCAUGACUUGGUGUGGUGGCUCACACCUGUAAUCCCAGCAUUUUGGGAGGCCGAGGCAUGUGGAUCGCUUGAAUACAGGAGUUAAAGACUAGCUUGGACAGCAUAGGGAGCCCUCAUCUCUAUUAAAAAAAAAAAUUAAAAAAAAACAACACUAGGCAGGCAUAGUGGCAUUCACCUGUGGUCCCAGUUACUCAGUAGGCUGAGGUGGAUCCCUUGAACCCAGGAGGUCGAGGCUACAGUGCCUGUGAUCAUUACACUGUACUGCAGCCUGGGCAACAAAAUGAAACCCUGUCUCAAAAAAGAAAAAAAAUUCCGUGACACCUUGACAUUUGUACUAUUUCAUUUUGUUUUCACAAUUUUGUGAGAUACAAAUUGUUGAAAGAAAUAGGCUCAGAGUGCUGAAAGACUAGCGCUCUGAGACUAGUUUUUAAAGACUUAAAAAUUCACUACAGUUGUCAAGUAACAUACCCAAACACACAUUUUGAGAUUCUCAAAAUAUAUUGUUUCUUUUAGUACUUUAUACCAGGGUCACCAGCUUGAUAUGACAGUCCAGAAUGUAUUUAUAAUAUGGACAUUUCUGGCUUAUUAUUGAUUGCCUGCAGCAUCUCCAAAAUUCAGCCAAACUUAACGUUUUUAAAACUGAAAACUACAAUUCUUAUGUUUAUGGCUGUAUCUUUACCAGCUUGAAGACAGGUACAUUGUUUUAUUCAUUUUUGUAUCCUUCAUGGUGCCCAAAAUAAGUACUCAGAAAAUAUUUUGGGGAUGAGUAAAAUGUAUAUUGUGAUGUUUAGUUGAAUUAGCGGGAAAAAAGCUGAUACAAUCACCUCAGAAACUUUUUUAGGAGGUCGUACACAUUUUCAGCACAUUCAUGUGAAGAUAGUUUAUUUGGGUUUGUACUUUAAAUUGGUGGAACCAUUGCCUCAAUUUCCCACUUCAUUUUUAAUGACGUCAUGCCUUGGAGAGAUAGGCUUAAGUAGGUGAUGCAGAUGACAGUCACCUGUAUGAUAUGCCUCUGGAUAUGUUUGUUGGGCUUAGAUAGUCCGGAUGACCCACAACAAAAGGGUCAUCUAGAAUAUCUAAACACAGCUUUAAUGAGAAUGUGUAAAGAGUGGGGUUAUGAGAGUUUGGGUCUUCAUAAUUCUCCCCUUCAUGCCGACGACCCUUGUGGACCACAUAUUUCUAUACUUUUCUGUCAAGGGAUUAGAGGAUAAGACUACUCUAUCAGUGGUUCCCAAAUGUGACUGCUUAUCACAAUCACCUGUGUAGUUUCAAAGGCAAUUCAGAUUCUCAAGUCCCACUCUAAACAGAAAAUAUUUAGAUUUAGGAUUAGAAAAUACUGGGUGAAGUCCAAGGCAUCUGUAACUGUAAUAACACUCUCCCUUGAAUUCCAAUGAUCAGUCAGGUUUGGGAAGUUCUGGUUUCAAUAACUUGUUCAAGGUCACACAGAACCCUAAAUAGAGCCAGAAACUAACUCAAAUCUUUUGAGUCCAAGUUAAAUAUAUUUUCAUUGGACUCCUGCUGUCCAUUUACUGACAAUAUAUGAUGGGGUAGGAUGAAGAGGUGGGGAGAAAAGUAGCAAUUUUAGUUUUUUCAUUUUUAUUUUUUACCAUAUUCUAUGACAUGGUUUUAAGAUUAAAUGAGCUAACAUCCAUAGAGUGCUUAGAACAGUAUCUGGCACAUGGUAAUUAGGUGUAACGGUUCAACGAAUAAGUCUCCAUUGUCCAGUCAUGGCAUUCACUUUGCCUGGGGUUACAUUAGGUAACAUUUUAUUGGAUAUCGACUUUUUCUAUGAAGAAAAAAAUGUAUGUAAAUAAAGGUGGAAUCUUUAGCCUUUAUUUGUCAUGGAAGCCCUGAAUUUGUAUAGCUGAAAAUAUUUCUAUAUUGUUUCUUUUCAUCUUUUCUGAUAUAUUAAGAAAAUGUUAAUGAUAUACUUAUUAAAUAAAAUUGUGGAUGUAUA
Homo sapiens (human) is the source of this 4599-nucleotide long non-coding RNA. RefSeq lists it as uncharacterized. The transcript has 2 exons. The record is from RefSeq and is a predicted model, not a curated record. Lineage: Eukaryota; Metazoa; Chordata; Mammalia; Primates; Hominidae.